GUCAAACCACAGCAGAGAGAAUAAUCGAAUGAAAACUGAAGGCUUCUGCUUUAUUCCUUUUCUCCUUCUCCUUUCAGUCAGGGUCUCACUCUGUCACCCAGGCUGACACGAUCAUGGCUCACUACAACCUCUGCCUUCCUGGCUCAAGGGUUCUUCCUUGAGCACCUCAGCCUCCCAAGUAGCUGGGACCACAGGAAUUUAGAUAAUGGGCUGUGUGCAAUGUAAGGAUAAAGAAGCAACAAAACUGACGGAGGAGAGGGACGGCAGCCUGAACCAGAGCUCCGGGUACCGCUAUGGCACAGACCCCACCCCUCAGCACUACCCCAGCUUCGGCGUGACCUCCAUCCCCAACUACAACAACUUCCACGCAGCCGGGGGCCAAGGACUCACCGUCUUUGGAGGUGUGAACUCUUCGUCUCAUACGGGGACCUUGCGUACGAGAGGAGGAACAGGAGUGACACUCUUUGUGGCCCUUUAUGACUAUGAAGCACGGACAGAAGAUGACCUGAGUUUUCACAAAGGAGAAAAAUUUCAAAUAUUGAACAGCUCGGAAGGAGAUUGGUGGGAAGCCCGCUCCUUGACAACUGGAGAGACAGGUUACAUUCCCAGCAAUUAUGUGGCUCCGGUUGACUCUAUCCAGGCAGAAGAGUGGUACUUUGGAAAACUUGGCCGAAAAGAUGCUGAGCGACAGCUAUUGUCCUUUGGAAACCCAAGAGGUACCUUUCUUAUCCGUGAGAGUGAAACCACCAAAGGUGCCUAUUCACUUUCCAUCCGUGAUUGGGAUGAUAUGAAAGGAGACCAUGUCAAACAUUAUAAAAUUCGCAAACUUGACAAUGGUGGAUACUACAUUACCACCCGGGCCCAGUUUGAAACACUUCAGCAGCUUGUACAACAUUACUCAGGUAACCU
Molecule: small RNA, 909 nt
Filed under: Pongo abelii (Sumatran orangutan)
Lineage: Eukaryota; Metazoa; Chordata; Mammalia; Primates; Hominidae
Description: retained intron
Source: RNAcentral